AAGAACCAGGUCCAUUCCACAUUAGGCUUCACCAAAAACCGAAAAAAGAAGUAUCUUUUAUAAAUUAAAGCAAGAAAUCCUUUAUACUGGAACAUAAAUCACCCACAAAAAUCACAGAUAUAGGAUUAAAAAGGCAAAAAAAGCUGUUUUUUCUCGGAUUCUUUUAUACCCUAAUUUCAAGUCAAACAACAAAUUGGCGAUCUUAGAACAAAAUUCCCAAGGACCCCACGUUACAAAAAUGUAAAGACAUCAAAUGGGCUGCAGAAUUUUGGGGCAAAUCAUAAGAUCAAACAAAAAUGAAGAUAAUACGCACCAAGAGCAAAGAAGAAGGUGAAGAUCGCAGAGAAUACAUUGCCGACGAUUGUAGAUACCCCAAGGGUGAAGCAAUCUUUGGCCCUUUCAACCAAAUCUCCAAUUGAAAUAGAUGAAAUAGACGAUGCUGAAGGCAAAGCUCGAGAUGGGUAUGCGUAAAAUUCCAUUUAUUAUUAAUAUUAAUAUUAUUAUUAUUAUUAUUAUUAUUUUCUCCGGUUGAUUGAUUCAAGAUACUUGGUCUCCGAAAAAGUAGCUAAUAUAUAAAUGUUUUCGAAAGCAACUAUGUAUAUAUAGAGAAAAAAAGUUAAAGAGGAGGGUGUACAAGGCAAAGGGAAGUAAUCUUCGUUGCUAAGACUAGUUGACAAUAACCCUACACAAACCAGCUAGCAUUUAUGGCUUUGCUUACUUUUAUUCACAGAAUGAAAACGAAAACAGAAAUUAUUACUAGUAUAUGCUUUGGUCGGGAUUGAAUUAGAAUUUGGUCUCUUUUAUAAAGUUCUCUAAAUUUAUUUAGAUAUCCAUCUAAUUUAAGAUAAAGUACUUGCACGUAUAAUGAAAUAUUUUAAUUUAAAUUUUAAGUGAUUAAUUUAUCUAUGAAAUAAUUAUUUAAUAAAACGUUCAAAAAUAGUUAUUUAAUGAACUUAUAUACGUAUGCAUUGAAGACUUGAGAACGUAUAAUAUAAUAUGUAGUAUAUGAUAUUUAUCCAAUGUAGGAGAUGUUAUUUUUGCAAAGAUAAGCAAUCCCAUUGCCUGUGCAGUGGGGAUACAUAGUUGUAUAGGUCAGCGGAUACCAAGUUGUAGAGGUUGCUUAUCGUGACAUAAGUAGAAAAAAAAUUAUCGCUCUUUUUCCCUUUUGCUUAUGCAAGAAUGAAUUCAAAUUGACUGUUUAAUUUACCAUAAACAAAAAUUUAAAAUAAAUGUUGAACAAUCAUUUAUUUAUGUAUUAGCUUGUGAAAUUGAAUUAAACUCAUGAUUUAUUUCUCUAUGUGGUAACAAAUCAAGAUUUGUUUCAAUUAAUGUUAUCGAUGAUGGUCUUCAAACUAAAUUAUUCUGACGUGAAUUGGGUGUUAAAAGACAAAAGAACCUCACAUCAAAUAAAAAAUGAAAUAGGUGAAUCUCCGGUAUAAAGUUGGGCAGUUCAAUUUUCAUUAACAAACUUUUGAAGUUAAGUUAAAAUUCAAAAUUCAUUUUCUUAUGAAAAGUAUCCACUUCUCUUUUAUUUAUUUAUUUAUAUUUGCAGAUCAGACUAAGACUGAAGACUGAAGGGUAUUAAAGGAAGUGGUGGUUUGGUGAAGGGUGGAUAGAUCACAGUACAUUUUAUUAAAGAUUUUGGC
RNAcentral lists this long non-coding RNA (1646 nucleotides) under Capsicum annuum. RNAcentral's name for it is "long non-coding RNA (CANN_LNC003606)". The record is from RNAcentral. Lineage: Eukaryota; Viridiplantae; Streptophyta; Magnoliopsida; Solanales; Solanaceae.